ACACUUCACAACAAGUGCUGAACAAAAUACUUACAAAACACUUCAAAAACACAUCUCAAGGACUUAACAAACAAUAACACUUAAAUAAACACUUAAAAAUCACACUUCACUAUUUACACCAAAACACCCAAACACAAACACUUAACCACUUCAAACCACUUCACCCUUCACACUACACACUUCAUACUUUAAAACAAAUACUUAAGCAUUUCAUACUGAAAUAAUUACUUUAACAUUCCACACAUGAACACAAACACACAAACACUUCACACUUGAACACUUAAUAGCUUAAAACAAACACCUUUAACACCUAAACACACAAACACACAAACACUUCACAAGUAAAUAAACACUUCACAAACAAUUACACUUAACUAACACAUAUAAAACACUUCACUAACAGUUAACAAACACUAACACUUAAAAAUUACACUUCACACUUAAAAAAAACACUUUAACACUUUAACGCUUAAACACACACUUUAACACUUAACACUUAAGCACACACUUUAGCACUUCACACUCAACACUUAACCACACACUUUAACACUUUAACGCUUAAACACACACUUUAACACUUAACACUUAAACACACACUUUAGCACUUCACACUCAACACAUAAACACACACUUAAACACUUAACACUUCAACACCUUAACACCUAAAUACCCAAACACCCAAAUACCCCAACACUAAUUGAUUUUAUAUGUACUAUUCCUAGAGAACUUACAUUUACAUUAUAAUAUAGGAAAGAGACUGAUUCAAGUAUAUAAUUUCUAUGAAUAAAAUUAUAUUUCAAAAACAUGUUUAAAUGCAAAACGAAAUUUAAAAAAUUAAAAAUUACAAAAAACCUUUAUCCUACCCCGCACUCUAAUAUAUAGAAGUAAGAAACUCUAUUACUUCAAUAAGAAUUAGAAAGCACCCGUCAAGUUUUGGCUUCAACUUCAUCUACUACCAAUAUAUUGUUGUGUAGUGCCAACUGUGCUUCUUCUAUCUGCAAACAAAAGAGUGAUUUAUGAGAAAAUAGAUAUCAACUGCAAAAUAAAGCUAGACCACUCAACUUGCAUCAUCAUAUGAAUUUAUAAAUACAUAUGCUUUUACCAACUCAAUAUGAUAAUUGACCUAGAACCUUGAUAAAUGGCAUGGACUCAAAAUCUCCUGCAAGCAUGAAAGUUGGUCGUAACAAACAGAAAAUUUUGAAAAUAAAUGUUACUGUCAUUUAUUAUAACUGUACCUAGAGUGUCAUCCAAUUCAAUGACACAUAUCUGCAGGUCCAGGCAUGCCUUCCACUGGUAUCAUUGUUACGCGUCCAAUCCACUUUUGAAUAGCAUCUAUAACGUGAGGAACAAUCUAUAGGUAGCAACAUUACACAAAGGCUAUUGCAAGCCACAAUAGCUGAUGGGUUCAAUAGUUAUUAAAUACCUGGACAGUUUUUUCAGAUAGUCUCCCCUUCUUUUCUUAUCUAUAACAUGCCAAAAGGAAAAAAAAUUAUUAAAAAGAAAUCAGCUAGCUGAUUAUUAUUUUUGAUUUCUCCUAGCAGCAGACACAAAAAUAAUCAAAAAAGAUGUGUAAGUUAAUCUCACCUAGUACAUUUUUUCAGUACUGAUAUUAUUGUCUCUUCUCAACUUGAUAUCCAAAAAAUUCAUAAUUUCUGAUGUCCAGGUUCACCUUUCAAACAACAAAAAAAAGUCAUUUUCUUCCUAACCUUUUAAGCAGUGAUACUUUCUAAACAAUAAUUAAUAGAGAUAAUAAAAGAAAUGAUAAUUAAAAAUUACUCGCCUUUUAGGAAAUAAGAAACUCCCACAUGUACAAAAUAAAAUCAAAAAAGCAUGUAAAAGAAAAUGAAUUCCAAACAGGAAAAAGUUAAUUAUGAUCAUAAAUUAGAAAAUUCACUUUUUGUAUAUGGAUUUCUCGAUAAUAUCAACAAAAAAAGACAAUUUUUUUUUCCUUUUACUUAAGAGUGGAGGAAGGAAGGAAUAGGAAGAGACCUAUUUAAUGAAAAUAACACGAAUACUAAAAAUCAACUACUAACUACUAACCACAAACUUACACACUUGUACACUUCAACAAACACUUGUACGUAACAAAAACUUAACAAAACGCUUCAAAAAUACUGCACAAAGACUUAACAAAUACUAACACUUAACAAACAAUAAAACUUAAAUAUCACAUUUCACACUUAACACCUAAACACACAAACACUUUAACAGUACACACUUCAAACCACUUCACACUACACAUUUCACACUUAAACAAACAUUUUAACACUUCACGCUUAAAUAAACACUAACUUUUAACACCUUAACACAAACACUUCACAUUUCACAAACACUACCAUUUACCAAACACUACAACUUAAACAUUACACUUCACACAUAAGUACUUCACACCCUUAGAGCUUAAUACAGUUAAAAAAAACGUAACAAAUACUUUACAAACACUUAACAAACUAACACCUAAGCAUCACACUUCACACCUUUACACUUUCACACUUAAACACAUAACAACUUAACACACAAAUACACUCACACACUUCACACUUAAGAAACACUAACACUUAAAUAUCAUACUUAACACUGCACGCUUUCACAAAUAAAUACUUAAACACCCAAACACUUAACACCUAACUUCACAUACUUCACACGCCUCACUAUUCACACUUAACAAACAAUAACACUUAAACAUCAUACUUUACACUGCACAUUUUCACACGUAAAUACCUAAACACUUAACACCUUAAUACCUAAACACCUAACUUAACACUUCACACACUUCACAAACUUCACACUCUUCACACUUCACACACUUCACACUCUUCACAACUCCUAACUUCACACUCUUCACACUUCACACAUCACACUUCACACUCUUCGCACUCCGCACUCUUCGCACUCCGCACACUCCGCACUCCGCACUCCGCUCCGCACUCCGCACGCCGCACGCCUUUCUCUCUCCAAAGCACUCUUCACAACACCUAACUUCAUACUUCACACACUUUACACUCUUCACACUCCGCACUCCGCACUCCGCACUCCGCACUCCGCACUCUUCACACUCUUCACAACACCUAACUUCAUACUUCACACACUUUACACUCUUCACACUUCACACUUCACACACAUCACACACACUUCACACUUCACACUUCUCACUCUUUACACUUCACAUUUCACACUUUACACUCGUCACACUUCACAAUUCACAAUUGGCACUUCACACACUCGAACACUUCAUACUCGUCACACUUCACACUUCACACUAUUCACACUUCCCGCACUUUGCACAUUGUCACACUUUGUCACACUUCACAUUUGUCACACACUUCACACUUCACACAUUUCACACACUUCACACUUUACACUUCACACAACACACUUCACACUUUUCACACACUUCACAAUAAGCGCAAAACAAAAUACUUACAAAACACUUCUCAAAGACCUAACAAACAAUAACACUUAAAUAAACACUUAAAAAUCACACUUCACGCUUUACACCAAACCACCCAAACACACAAACACUUAACCACUUCAAACCACUUCACCCUUCAUACUACACACUUCACACUUUAAAACAAAUACUUAAGCAUUUCAUACUUAAAUAAAUACACUAACAUUUAACACCUAAACACAAACACACAAACACUUCACACUUAAACACUUAAUAGCUCACCACAAACACCUAAACACACAAACAAUUACACUUAACAAACAAUUACAAAACACUUCACCAACAGUUAACAAACACUAACACUUAAAAAUUACACAUCACACUUAAAAAAAACACUUUAACACUUUAACACUUAAACACACACUUUAACACUUAACACCUAAGCACACACUUUAGCACUUCACACUCAACACAUAAACACACACUUUAACACUUAACGCUUCAAUACCUAAACACCUAAAUACCUAAACACCCAAACACCUCAACACUAAUUGAUUUUAGAUGUACUAUUCCUAGAGAACUUAUAUUUAUAUUAUAAUAUAGGAAAGAGACUUAUUCAAGUAUAUAAUUUCUAUGAAUAAAAUUAUAUUUCAAAAACAUGUUUAAAUGCAAAACGAAAUUUAAAAAUUUAAAAAUUACAAAAAAUCAUUAUCCUGCCACGCACUCUAAUAUAUAGAAAUAAGAAGCUCUUUUACUUCAAUAAAAAUUAGAAAGCACCCGUCAAGUUUUGGCUUCCUCUUCAUCUACUACCAAUAUAUUGUUGUGUAGUGCCAACUGUGCUUCUUCUAUCUGCAAACAAAAGAGUGAUUUAUGAGAAAACAGAGAUCAACUGCAAAAUAAAGCUAGAGCACUCAAUUUGCAUCAUCAUAUGAAUUUAUAAAUCCAUAUGCUCUUACCAACUCAAUAUGAUAAUUAACCUAGAACCUUGAUAAAUGGCAUGGAUUCAAAAUCUCCUGCAAGCAUAAAAGCUGAUCGUAACAAACAGAAAAUUUUGAAAAUAAAUGUUACUGUCAUUUAUUGUAACUGUACCUAGAGUGUCAUCCAAUUCAAUGACACAUAUCUGUAGGUCCAGACAUGCCUUCCACUGGUAUCAUUGUUACGCGUCCAAUCCACUUUUGAAUAGCAUCUAUAACAUGAGGAACAAUCUAUAGGUAGCAACAUUACACAAAGGCUAUUGCAAGCCACAAUAGCUUAUGGGUACAACAGUUAUUAAAUAUCUGGAGAGUUUUUGUCAGAUAGUCUCCCCUUCUUUUCUUAUCUAUAACAUGCCAAACGGGAAAAAAAUUAUUAAAAAGAAAUCAGCUAGCUGAUUAUUCUUUUUGGUUUCUCCUAGUAGGAGACACAAAAAUAAUCAAAAGAGAUGUGCAAGUUAAUCUCACCUGGUAAAUUUUUCCAGUACUGAUAUUAUUGUCUCUUCUCAACUUGAUAUCCAGAAAAUUCAUAAUUUCUGAUGUCCAGGUUCACCUUUCAAACAACAGGAAAAAGUUAAUUAUGAUCAUAAAUUGGAAAAUUCACCUUUUGUAUAUAGAUUUCUCCGUAAUAUCAACAAAAAAAAAAAUUUUUUUUACUUUUACUUAAAAGAGGAGGAAGAAAGGAAGAGGAAGAGACCUAUUUGAUUAAAAUAACACGAAUACUAAAAAUCAACUACUAACUACUAACCACAAACUCUUAACCCUAACCAUAACCUUAACCAUAUACUAACCCUAACACUUCACAAACACUUAACAAACACUUCAAAAACACUAAACAAACAAUAAACACUUGAACAUUAUACGUAAACUUCAUACUUAAGUGUUUGUACAAAUACUUAAAAAACAAUUAACAAAUACUUUAACAAACACUUCACAAACACUUAACAAACACUAACAUUUAAGCAUCACACUUCACACUUAAACACUAAACACCUUAACACCUUAACACACAAACAUACUCACACGCUUCAAACUUAACAAACAUUAACACUUAAACAUUACACUUUAUACUUUCACACUUAAACAAUUAAACAUUUAACACUUAAACACAAAAAAAAAAAGUUACACACUUGUACACUUCAACAAACACUUAUACCUAACAAAAACUUAACAAAACACUUCAAAAAUACUGCACAAGGACUUAACAAAUACUAACACUUAACAAACAGUAACACUUAAAUAUCACACUUCACCCUUAACACCUAAACACACAAACACUUUAACAGUACACACUUCAAACCACUUCACACUUAAAUAAACAUUUUAACACUUCACACUUAAAUAAACACUUUAACUUUUAACACCUUAACACAAACACUUCACACUUCACAAACAGUACCAUAUACCAAACACUACAACUUAAACAUCACACUUCACACAUAAGUGCUUAACACCUUAAGAGCUUAAUACACUUAAAAAAAACGUAACAAAUACUUCACAAACACUUAACAAACAAACACCUAAGCAUCAAACUUCACACUUCACACCUUCACACUUAAACACUUAACACCCUAACACACAAAUACACUCACACACUUCACACUUAAAAAACACUAACACUUAAACAUCACACUUCACACUACACGCUUUCACACAUAAACACUUAAACACCUAAACAAUUAACACCUUAACACCUAACUUCACAUACUUCACACGCAUCACACACUUCACAUUUCACACUUAAGAAACAAUAACACUUAAACAUCACACUUCACACUGCACAUUUUCACACGUAAACACCUAAACACUUAACACCUUAACACCUAAACACCAAACUUAACACUUCACACACUUCAUAAACUUCACACUCUUCACACUCUUCACACUUCACACACUUCACACUCUUCACAACACCUAACUUCACACUUCACACACUUCACACUUCAUACUACACUUCACACACAAUUCACACACUCUUCGCACUUCACACACUCUUCGCACUUCACACUCGUCACACUUCACACUUCACACUUCACACUUCACACUCGUCACACUUCACACUCGUCACACUUCACAUUUCACACUCGUCACACUUCACACUUCACACUUCACACUCGUCACACUUCACACUCUUCACACAUCACACUUCAUACUUCACACAACACACACUUCACACUUCACACUCUUCAUACUCUUCACAACACCUAACUUCAUACUUCACACACUUCACACUCUUCACACACUUCACACAUCACACACUUCACACAACACUUCACACACAAUUCACACACACUUCACAUUUCUUACUUCUCACUCUUUGUACUUCACAUUUCACACUUCACACUCGUCACACUUCACACUCGUCACACUUCGCACUUCGCACUUCGCACUUCGCACACUUGAACACUUGAACACUUCACACUCUUCACACUUCACACUUCGCACUUCACACUUCGCACUUCACACACUUCACACUCUUUACACUUCCCCACUUCCCGCACUUCGCACUUUGUCACACUUUGUCACACUUCACAUUUGUCACACACUUCACACUUCACACACUUCACACUUCACAUAGCACACUUCAUACUUCACACUUUUCACACACUUCACAACAAGCGCUGAACAAAAUACUUGCAAAACACUUCAAAAACACUUCUCAAUGACUUAACAAACAAUAACACUUAAAAAUCACACUUCACUAUUUACACCAAAACACCCAAACACACAAACAUUUAACCACUUCAAACCACUUCACCCUUCAUACUACACACUUCACACUUUAAAACAAAUACUUAAGCAUUUCAUACAUAAAUAAAUACUUUAACAUUUAACGCCUGAACACAAACACACAAACACUUCACACUUAAACAUUUAAUAGCUUAACACAAACACCUUAAUACAUAAAUACACAAACACACAAACACUUCACAAGUAAAUAAACACUUCACAAACAAUUACACUUAACUAACAAUUACAAAACACUUCACCAACAGUUAACAAACACUAACACUUAAAAAUUACACUUCAUACUUGAAAAAAACACUUUAACACUUUAAUGCUUAAACACACACUUUAACACUUAACACUUAAGCACACACUUUAGCACUUCACACUCAACACAUAAACACACACUUUAACACUAAACACUUCAACACCUUAACACCUAAAUACCUAAACACCCAAACACCUCAACACUAAUUGAUUUUAGAUAUACUAUUCCUAGAGAACUUACAUUUAUAUUAUAAUAUAGGAAAGAGACUUAUUCAAGUAUAUAAUUUUUAUAAAUAAAAUUAUAUUUCAAAAACAUGUUUAAAUGCAAAACGAAAUUUAAAAAUUUUAAAAUUUAAAAAUUACAAAAAAUCAAUAUUAUGCCCCGCACUCUAAUAUAUAGAAGUAAGAAGCUCU
Molecule: long non-coding RNA, 7770 nt
Filed under: Manihot esculenta (cassava)
Lineage: Eukaryota; Viridiplantae; Streptophyta; Magnoliopsida; Malpighiales; Euphorbiaceae
Description: long non-coding RNA (MESC_LNC007568)
Source: RNAcentral